This is a long non-coding RNA of Poecilia reticulata (guppy), 1112 nucleotides long. RefSeq lists it as uncharacterized. NCBI's taxonomy places the organism in Eukaryota, Metazoa, Chordata, Actinopteri, Cyprinodontiformes, Poeciliidae. The record is from RefSeq and is a predicted model, not a curated record.
GCGAAAGGUCAUUUGAGCCUGCUAGAUUCGACUGCCAUGCUAAAUAAGCGGGAAAUGGUCAUAAAAUACCUGUGGAUGCAGAGUCUACAGUCUUGUUUUGGAGUGUUUAACCUUCGGAUGUACCGAGAAUAAUUCUCUGGACACUUCUGCUGUGGGUUGAAUGGACGAAUUUUCCCAGUGAACUUCAUGUGGCCAGUGAUGUGAAGUGAAUUGCAACUCAGCUGUGGAGUGGGACCUGCAUGGUCACGGAUAAGGCCUCAUCCAUCCCUGACAUCUAAGCAAACUCCAAAGGAUUUUACUGGAUAACCCAACUGAAGGUGGGACAUCAUCAAUCAGGAUUUUGAGACGGACGGCAGAUGGCAUCAUCAAUUAUGUCAAGUUGUGCAGAUCCUGAAGCAGCAAAUAACCAUUUUGAACAGUUGAGGAGGGACGUUAUCGCUUGGUGUCGUGGCCCCGAUUCGUCUGUUCAUUGUCUGUACCUGUAGUUCUCUGUUAGGCUAGACCAGAACACAAGGAAACCCCCCGAACAGAAAACUGCUGCACCCAGAGGAAAAAGCCUUGUGAUGUCAAGUCAAGUUUAUUUGUGCAGCCCGAUAUCACAUAAGAUAUCUCUGUGGGCAUCGCGGGCUCACAACAGCACUAGUUCCUGACCCAGCUCGAUCUCUCUCAGAAGAUGAGGAAAGGGCCGGUAAAAAGAAACUGUUACAAGAAAGGAGAAGAAACCUCGGGAGACAGCUUCAGUGAAACAAUUCCCCGUCCUCUGACAGAUGGGGGAGAAAGGAGGAAAAGAACAAAGGUUUAAAGGAGACUUGGAGUUAGGGCUGAAAAACAUCUCAACACUGAACAUAUUUUCUUUUUCCUUGUUCAUAAAACAACACUUUCAGGUUACCGUUUCUAUAAUUAAAAUGUAUUUCAAAAGUCAUCUCAAGUUUAACAUGUGAAUUGUUGUGGGGAAAGGAAAAAUGAAGUGAGGAAUAGAUUCUUUUUUCCUCAUGGACUCCAAUAAGAUUUAACAAAUCUAUUGAACCGUUUGGCUAAACUCUUUAUUCCCAUUCUUUGUUGAGGAGGCUUAUCUGAAAAGUAGUGUAAACCCAAUAAAUACCAGCAAAGAA